Podarcis lilfordi (Lilford's wall lizard) is the source of this 87-nucleotide non-coding RNA. The record is from the annotation of a GenBank genome assembly. NCBI's taxonomy places the organism in Eukaryota, Metazoa, Chordata, Lepidosauria, Squamata, Lacertidae.
GCCCUGGCAGGCUUAGCUCAGUGGUGGAGCAUCUGUUUUGCAUGCAGAACGUCCCAAGUUCAAUUCCCUGCAUCUCCUGGUAGGGCU